GAUGAACGCUGGCGGCGUGCCUAAUACAUGCAAGUCGAGCGAACAGACGAGGAGCUUGCUCCUCUGACGUUAGCGGCGGACGGGUGAGUAACACGUGGAUAACCUACCUAUAAGACUGGGAUAACUUCGGGAAACCGGAGCUAAUACCGGAUAAUAUAUUGAACCGCAUGGUUCAAUAGUGAAAGACGGUUUUGCUGUCACUUAUAGAUGGAUCCGCGCCGCAUUAGCUAGUUGGUAAGGUAACGGCUUACCAAGGCAACGAUGCGUAGCCGACCUGAGAGGGUGAUCGGCCACCCUGGAACUGAGACACGGUCCAGACUCCUACGGGGGGCAGCAGUAGGGAAUCUUCCGCAAUGGGCGAAAGCCUGACGGAGCAACGCCGCGUGAGUGAUGAAGGUCUUCGGAUCGUAAAACUCUGUUAUUAGGGAAGAACAAAUGUGUAAGUAACUAUGCACGUCUUGACGGUACCUAAUCAGAAAGCCACGGCUAACUACGUG
This 497-nucleotide ribosomal RNA is filed under the name uncultured bacterium. Its description in RNAcentral is "partial 16S ribosomal RNA". It matches the Rfam family "Bacterial small subunit ribosomal RNA", at positions 28 to 507 of the family's 1533-position model. The record is from RNAcentral.